This 859-nucleotide ribosomal RNA is filed under the name uncultured Gemella sp. RNAcentral's name for it is "bacterial SSU rRNA". It matches the Rfam family "Bacterial small subunit ribosomal RNA", at positions 33 to 874 of the family's 1533-position model. The record is from RNAcentral. Lineage: Bacteria; Bacillati; Bacillota; Bacilli; Caryophanales; Gemellaceae.
ACGCUGGCGGCGUGCCUAAUACAUCAAGUCGAGCGAAGUUUUUCUGGUGCUUGCACCGGAAAAACUUAGCGGCGAACGGGUGAGUAACACGUAAAGAACCUGCCUCAUAGACUGGGACAACUAUUGGAAACGAUAGCUAAUACCGGAUAACAGCAUUAACUGCAUGGUUGAUGUUUAAAAGUUGGUUUUGCUAACACUAUGAGAUGGCUUUGCGGUGCAUUAGCUAGUUGGUGGGGUAAAGGCCUACCAAGGCGACGAUGCAUAGCCGACCUGAGAGGGUGAUCGGCCACACUGGGACUGAGACACGGCCCAGACUCCUACGGGAGGCAGCAGUAGGGAAUCUUCCGCAAUGGGCGAAAGCCUGACGGAGCAACGCCGCGUGAGUGAAGAAGGAUUUCGGUUCGUAAAGCUCUGUUGUUAGGGAAGAAUGAUUGUGUAGUAACUAUACACAGUAGAGACGGUACCUGACCAGAAAGCCACGGCUAACUACGUGCCAGCAGCCGCGGUAAUACGUAGGUGGCAAGCGUUGUCCGGAAUUAUUGGGCGUAAAGCGCGCGCAGGUGGUUUAAUAAGUCUGAUGUGAAAGCCCACGGCUCAACCGUGGAGGGUCAUUGGAAACCGUUAAACUUGAGUGCAGGAGAGAAAAGUGGAAUUCCUAGUGUAGCGGUGAAAUGCGUAGAGAUUAGGAGGAACACCAGUGGCGAAGGCGGCUUUUUGGCCUGUAACUGACACUGAGGCGCGAAAGCGUGGGGAGCAAACAGGAUUAGAUANCCUGGUAGUCCACGCCGUAAACGAUGAGUGCUAAGUGUUGGUCUCAUAAGAGAUCAGUGCUGCAGCUAACGCAUUAAGCACUCCGCCU